UGGAAAGGCGUGCGAUACAGGGUGACAGCCCCGUACACAAAAAUGCACAUAUUGUGAGCUCGAUGAGUAGGGCGGGACACGUGGUAUCCUGUCUGAAUAUGGGGGGACCAUCCUCCAAGGCUAAAUACUCCUGACUGACCGAUAGUGAACCAGUACCGUGAGGGAAAGGCGAAAAGAACCCCGGCGAGGGGAGUGAAAAAGAACCUGAAACCGUGUACGUACAAGCAGUGGGAGCCUCUUAAUGGGGUGACUGCGUACCUUUUGUAUAAUGGGUCAGCGACUUAUAUUCUGUAGCAAGGUUAACCGAAUAGGGGAGCCGAAGGGAAACCGAGUCUUAACUGGGCGUUAAGUUGCAGGGUAUAGACCCGAAACCCGGUGAUCUAGCCAUGGGCAGGUUGAAGGUUGGGUAACACUAACUGGAGGACCGAACCGACUAAUGUUGAAAAAUUAGCGGAUGACUUGUGGCUGGGGGUGAAAGGCCAAUCAAACCGGGAGAUAGCUGGUUCUCCCCGAAAGCUAUUUAGGUAGCGCCUCGUGAAUUCAUCUCCGGGGGUAGAGCACUGUUUCGGCAAGGGGGUCAUCCCGACUUACCAACCCGAUGCAAACUGCGAAUACCGGAGAAUGUUAUCACGGGAGACACACGGCGGGUGCUAACGUCCGUCGUGAAGAGGGAAACAACCCAGACCGCCAGCUAAGGUCCCAAAGUCAUGGUUAAGUGGGAAACGAUGUGGGAAGGCCCAGACAGCCAGGAUGUUGGCUUAGAAGCAGCCAUCAUUUAAAGAAAGCGUAAUAGCUCACUGGUCGAGUCGGCCUGCGCGGAAGAUGUAACGGGGCUAAACCAUGCACCGAAGCUGCGGCAGCGACACUAUGUGUUGUUGGGUAGGGGAGCGUUCUGUAAGCCUGUGAAGGUGGCCUGUGAGGGUUGCUGGAGGUAUCAGAAGUGCGAAUGCUGACAUAAGUAACGAUAAAGCGGGUGAAAAGCCCGCUCGCCGGAAGACCAAGGGUUCCUGUCCAACGUUAAUCGGGGCAGGGUGAGUCGACCCCUAAGGCGAGGCCGAAAGGCGUAGUCGAUGGGAAACAGGUUAAUAUUCCUGUACUUGGUGUUACUGCGAAGGGGGGACGGAGAAGGCUAUGUUGGCCGGGCGACGGUUGUCCCGGUUUAAGCGUGUAGGCUGGUUUUCCAGGCAAAUCCGGAAAACCAAGGCUGAGGCGUGAUGA
This 1218-nucleotide ribosomal RNA is filed under the name Escherichia coli. RNAcentral's name for it is "partial 23S ribosomal RNA". It matches the Rfam family "Bacterial large subunit ribosomal RNA", at positions 343 to 1569 of the family's 2925-position model. Lineage: Bacteria; Pseudomonadati; Pseudomonadota; Gammaproteobacteria; Enterobacterales; Enterobacteriaceae. The record is from RNAcentral.